GAACGCACCUUGCGCUCCUUGGUAUUCCGAGGAGCAUGCCUGUUUGAGUGUCAUUUAAUUCUCAACCUUAUUAGCUUUUGUUGAUAAUGGCUUGGAUGUGGGGGUUUUCUUUUGCUGGCUUUCUUCGGAUGUCAGCUCCCCUGAAAUGCAUUAGCUGGUGCCCCGCGUGGACUGUCUAUUUGGUGUGAUAAUUAUCUACGCCGUGGAUGUCUGCAAUUGGUUUUGGCGCUGCUUCUAACUGUCUGUUCAUUUGGACAAUACAUGACAAUUUGACCUCAAAUCAGGUAGGACUACCCGCUGAACUUAAG
This 308-nucleotide unclassified non-coding RNA is filed under the name Hymenogaster griseus. RNAcentral's name for it is "sequence contains 5.8S rRNA gene". The stretch from base 1 to 53 matches the Rfam family "5.8S ribosomal RNA", at positions 102 to 154 of the family's 154-position model. The record is from RNAcentral. Lineage: Eukaryota; Fungi; Basidiomycota; Agaricomycetes; Agaricales; Hymenogastraceae.